RNAcentral lists this long non-coding RNA (34562 nucleotides) under Solanum tuberosum (potato). RNAcentral's name for it is "long non-coding RNA (STUB_LNC003020)". The record is from RNAcentral. Lineage: Eukaryota; Viridiplantae; Streptophyta; Magnoliopsida; Solanales; Solanaceae.
UCUUCACCUAGUGGCGGAAGCACUGGUGUCUCCUCAACUGGUGGCGGAAGUACUGGUGGCUCCUCAACUGGUGGCUCAUCACCUGGUGGCGGAAUCACUGGUGGUUCCUCAACUGGUGGCUCAUCACCUAGUGGCGGAAGCACUGGUGGCUCCUCAAUUGGUGGUGGAAGUAUCGAUGGCUCCUCACCUGGUGGCAGAAUACCUGGUGGCGGAAUAACCGGUGGCUCCUCAACUGGUGGAUCCUGACCUAGUGGCGGAAGUACUGGUGGCUCCUCAACUGGCGGAAGUACUGGUGGCCUCUUAGUCCGAGGACUAGGGGGACGAUGUUGAGGUUGAACUGGUGGCGGAAGAAGUGGAGGAGAACGGGGUGGCCUCUUAGUUCGAGGACUAGGGGGACGAUGUCGAGGUUGAACUGGUGGCGGAAGAAGUGGAGGAGAACGUGGUGGCCUCUUAGUCCGAGGACUAGGGGGACGAUGUUGAGGUUGAACUGGUGGCGGAAAAACUGGAGGAGAACGGGGUGGCCUCUUAGUCCGAGGACUAGGGGGACGAUGUUGAGGUUGAACUGGUGGCGGAAAAACUGGAGGAGAACGGGGUGGCCUCUUAGUCCGAGGACUAGGGGGACGAUGUUGAGGUUGAACUGGUGGCGGAAAAACUGGAGGAGAACGGGGUGGCCUCUUAGUCCGAGGACUAGGGGGACGAUGUUGAGGUUGAACUGGUGGCGGAAAAACUGGAGGAGAACGGGGUGGCCUCUUAGUCCGAGGACUAGGGGGACGAUGUUGAGGUUGAACUGGUGGCGGAAGAAGUGGAGGAGAACGGGGUGGCCUCUUAGUUCGAGGACUAGGGGGACGAUGUCGAGGUUGAACUGGUGGCGGAAGAAGUGGAGGAGAACGUGGUGGCCUCUUAGUCCGAGGACUAGGGGGACGAUGUUGAGUCUGAACUGGUGGCGGAGAAGGUGGCCUCUUAGGCCGAGGACUAAGGGGACGACGAUGUCCAUGUUGAGCCUUAGGUCUAGGUUUAAUUCUUGGAAUCCCAAAUCUUAAAGACUCACGAAGAGUUGGAUCAUGAGAUGAAUAUUCAUCAGUGAGUUGAUCUCCAUUAGUGAGCUCUAAGAAUGAGCUAACUACUAAAACUGAAACUACAAAUAGCCACUUCCCUGAUAUGAUAGCCAUAAUACUAGUUGUUAUAAUUCUUUCAAAUCUCUAUGUUGAGUAUGUAAAAUAACGUUAAAAGGGACCAAAUUUAUAGGACCAUGCAUGCAAAAAGAACAUUUAUGAAAUUUUAGUUGGGACAAUGGGGCUCAACUAUUAAAUGAGUUUUCCCUAACUAAAUAGAAUUUCAUUUGCAAGAUUAUCAAAUAUUUUUAGCCUUCAUCAGGAAAUAUUCCAUUAAGAUAUUUAUUACACAACUAACACACUAUCUUUAAACCUAUGUAUUCUCACGUUCUAUAAUUUUGUUGAUCACAGUGAUAGAUUGUUUUAUCAAGAUUUAGGGGAAAUAAAAAUUAUUUUUAAGUAGUAGCCUUAGUUGAAGAAAAAUUCACGAGUUCACUUCCUUUUACUUUUCUUAUUUUUUUUUAGGGAGGGGUGAAUGGGAUUUAAUCCUUCACCAGUGAAGGACGGAACUCUCACAUCCCUGUUCACUUUCUGUUCAAACUAAUUGCAUAUCUAUUAUUGAGAUGAGAAAUUUUAUCAAUAAUUAGAAAAACUAAUAUAGUUUAUACUUAAUUAAACUGAUCAAGAAAAUGUUUAAAGUUCCACAAGCUACCCUUACUUUAGCAUAAUUUCCAAAUUAUGUGCGUAAAAGUUAAUAAACCCCUCUGCCACGUCACCAAAAGUUAUAAGUGGAGUUGAAAUUUCUUUUUAUUGAAGCUAGUCAUAGUAAAUAUAAGUUGGUAAGACUUGUUGGUAAGACUGCAAAUAGUUUUAGUAAGGAGAUGUGAUCUCUGCCAUCACCAAUGAAAAAAAUUGAACCCAUAUAUAUACUUUAUUCGUCUCGAUUUAUGUUACAUCAUUUAAUUGAAUAUAAAAUUUAAGAAAUGAAGAGUUUGAAAAUUUAUGGUUUAUUACUCCUAGAUCAUUUGUGUAGGCAUAAAUCACAUCAUUAAGGAUAAAAAGAAAAUUUUAAGUUAAAUUUUUAUUUAUAAAAAUGGGAUAUUCUUUAUAAAAUGGAAUAUAGAAAUAAUAGUGUGUCAUGUGCGGGAUAAAUUGAAAUAGAGGGAAUACCAUAUAUAAGGCACUCCUGAUUAAUCACUAUAAACUGUGCCCGAAUUAAAAAGAAACCCAACUAAAACCAGAAAGGAAAAAUUCCAACAAAGAAAAAAAGGCAAUUACAUACCAUGAACUAUAAGUUAAGCUAUUAUCAGAGGCGAACCCAGGAUUUGAAGAGUAUAAGUGCACCAAUAAUAUUUAAGCAUAAGCGAAGCAAAAUUUUCAAUGCUUAAUGGACACUUGACUUUGUAAUAAAAAGAGUUUAAAAAAAGAGUUGUUGACCAGGAUCGAACCUGGGUCUGCAAAGACAUAUUUCCUCACUUCUGCCAGCAGAUUAAGGGAAGUUCAAUGUUCAUUAUGGGUGCACUUUUCUAAUAUUUCUUUUUAUAUUAGUUUCUCAAGAUAGAUAUAUAUACACGUGAUUUUUUCGAAGUUAACGGAUGCACAUGCACCCCCACCUUUACAUGUAGGUCCGCCCUGGCUAUUAUGAAUUAAACCCAAACAAUAUCCCUUGUUCAUGCAAUAUUAAUUGUGAAACUUACAUAGAUAUACUAUAUUAAAAAUAUAUUUAUCAUCUAUAGUAAUAAUAUGGAGUGUAAAUUUCAUAUAUGACAUAUAUUAUAGUACUAUUUUCAAGCUAUAGCAGUAGAUUUAGACUUUCACGCUAUAGCAUUAAAAAUUUCAGGUUAUAACAAAAUUACAAAAAAAAAAGAAAUGUUUUAAUUAAUUGGAAAAAACUUUUAAAAAAAAAAAAGAUAAACGGAAAUUAAAAAAAAAACGGAAUUAGAAAUAAUAAAGAAAAAAACUGAAAAAAUGGAAAUAGAUGUAUUAAUUAAAUUUGAAUUGAUUGAUGAUAAUUAUUAAUUAAGCAUAAAUUUAGGAGAUUCAACCUAAUUAGGAAUAUUUGUUUUCCUUAAUUCACUCUAAUCUGUUAAAAUUAAUUAAAAAGUCUUAUUUUAUCCAUUUUCAAAAAAAAAAAAAAAAAAAAACUGUAAUUGAUGUUGGUGCAACAUUUAAUGAUCUCUGUUUUAAAUUGUAAGAUUCGUUUAUUCCAGUAUUUAUACAGAUUGUAUACAACUUCAUACAUCUUUAAAAAUACUUAAUCCACGCUUGUUAAGACAAUAUAAUUUACAAUUAGGUUGUAAAUUGUCCAGGAUGAAAAAANNNNNNNNNNNNNNNNNNNNNNNNNNNNNNNNNNNNNNNNNNNNNNNNNNNNNNNNNNNNNNNNNNNNNNNNNNNNNNNNNNNNNNNNNNNNNNNNNNNNNNNNNNNNNNNNNNNNNNNNNNNNNNNNNNNNNNNNNNNNNNNNNNNNNNNNNNNNNNNNNNNNNNNNNNNNNNNNNNNNNNNNNNNNNNNNNNNNNNNNNNNNNNNNNNNNNNNNNNNNNNNNNNNNNNNNNNNNNNNNNNNNNNNNNNNNNNNNNNNNNNNNNNNNNNNNNNNNNNNNNNNNNNNNNNNNNNNNNNNNNNNNNNNNNNNNNNNNNNNNNNNNNAAUUAUUAUAGUCAAUGUGUAAUUUAUCUUUAGAAUGGUGUAUCCAUUUGGAAUGCAGUCUGUAUAUAACUAGUAUCCUGCGAUUACAAUAGUCAAUCUAUAAUUCAUAUGUAAUUGGUAUCUUUUUGAAAUAAAACAAUGGAUAUUAUAUAUAUCAAAUACUUAAAGCUGUAACAAACACAAAAAUAUCGUCCAAAAGUAAAAAAAAUAAUUUGUAAUUCUAAAAAGUCUAAGGUGCAAUCAACUAUCUCACAUUUGAUCUUUGUGGUCUUGGUGUGGGAUAAUUGCUGGUAUUCGGAGCAUGUUCUUUUGCUAUGCGGGGUCCAUCAAAUUUGCUAGCAACAGUGCCAGUUACUUCACUCUCACUGGUCGCGCCAUCAUCAUUCUUUGUUUUUCCAUAAUGUCAUAUGAUUGUGGCAUACCUUUGACGAUGGUACUUUGCAUCGAUAACAAUAGAACGCAUAUCAAAAAUUCUAUUACUGAUGUAUUCAGCAAAUAGACACGUGUACAAACCACAAUCACUGAAAUUUUUUUGAAAGAAAAAUCAUUUUAUACCAUUUUCAUACCAAUGUUAAAAAUUUAAAUACAUUAAUGAAGAAAUUGAAAAAGAAACCUUCCUAUUAGAAAAAAUCUCAAUUUCAUAUCAAUAUUAGUCAUAAUUCAUACAAAACAGAGUAAUUUAACAAUUCAUACCAUUUGCAUACCAAUUUAACAACUCAUACCAUUGGGCUACUGAUAUCAAACCAAUUUCAUACCAAUGUCAAAACACAAUUCAUACCAUUUGCAUACCAAUAUUAUAUCAUAUUUCAUAUAAUAUCCCAAAAUCAUAUAUUAAAAUCAGAUUCAUAUAAGUAUUAUUCACAUUUCGUACAAGUUUGACCCAAACAAAAGUUUCGAAACAACAAUAAGCAUAAUGUGAUAUUUUUAGCAAAAAAAAUCACUAAUUUGAAUAAUGUGAAAAUAAAUUAAAUAUAAUACUUACCCUAACAACUUUUUUUGCCUUUUUUGGAUAUUCGAAUUUCUGAUUCCUUCUUUUUUGUUGUUCUUCUUGUUGAUGGUUUUGAAGAUUGAGCAAUUUCUACAUUUGUUGCUUUUUUUCUUUUUUUCUUUCACUAACAAAAUCAGAAUUCGAAUCAAAAGGGGUUUCUACAAUCUUCCCCUUCCUCUUCUUUCCCUUUUUGAUCCUUCGACUGAGAGGAACCACACUUUGCAUGAAUUUCAACAUUCUUCGUGUGUAGAUCUAAUCCCACCAUUAAAUCAUAUAAAUGUGGGAGUUCUACUGUAUUUUCUUUUGAAUGAAGAAGACGAACGUUGAAGAUGGUGAGAGAGAAAAAAUUAGUUCUCUGUAAAAGAGAAACGUGGGGAUGGGGGUGGGGGAUAUACGUGUGGGUAAAAGAGGAAGGUGGGGUUGUUGUGUGAAAUCUGGGAAAAAUCCCUAAAAUGGUGUAAGAGAUAAUGGCAAUUGAUUCUCUAAUAUUCCCUAAAAUGGUGGAAGAUAUAAUGACAAUUGAUUCUCUAAUAUUAAUGUUAUUUCUCUUACUUAUUAAUUAUAAUGUAAUUAUAAAAAUAAUAACUAAUUAAUUAAAUUAAAUAAAUUAAAUUAUAAAUUAAAACUAAUUUGUUAAUAUUUGUAAUUAAACUGUUAUAAGAAGUAAUAUAAAAAAAGUACAUCUAAAGGCUGUAAUAUUAAGCCUUAAAUAGAUAUAUGAGGUGAUUUUUCCUAAUAUGGAGUAAUUUGUGUUUCGAAUCCAACACAGAUUUUGGGCCGGUAAAGCCAAAAGUGUUCAAUGGAUUUGGGAAUAUCUGUAGGCCCAACCCAUUAAUUCAAGCCCAAACAAGGCUUUGUUGAAUAACAAGGCACAACACACAAAAAGAAAAAUUAUCGCAUAAUAUCCAACCCGUUAUUGUUCAAAUCAUAUUCCCGUAAAUAAAUUCAGAGCGAACCCAGGAUUUGAAGAGUCUGGUUGCACCAAUAAUAUUUAAGCAUAAGCAAAGCAAAAUUUUCAAUGCUUAAUGGACGCUUGACUUUGUAAUAAAAAGAGUUGUUGACCAGGAUCGAACCUGGGUCUGCAAGGACGUAUUUCCUCACUUCUAUUAGCAGACCAAGGACAGUUUAAUGUUCAUUAAGGGUGCACUUUUUAAUAUAUUCCUUUUAAUUCAGUUUCUCAAGAUAGAUAGGUAUAUAUAUAUAUAUGAUUUUUUUCCGAAGUUAACGGGUGCACGUGCAUCCCAACCUUUACAUGUGGGUCCGCCCCUGCCCGUAAUAGGGUUUCAAUGUCAUCAAUUGAUUUAGAAAACCGUGUUUAAAAUCAAAGUCUAGUUCUAAAACAAUGAUAAAGUUCAACAAGUAAAGUUCAUCGUCAAAACGUGUUAUGAAAUUACAAAGGCUUAAUGCGAGAUUGUCCCAUACACGUAUAAAAUCCUAGUUCAAAUCGUCUUUAAAGUUAAAAAAAGACAUACCUCAAUUUAUACUAAUUAAUGAUGAUAAAGAUAUGGAUUUUAAUCAAAUCUCAUGAAUUUCCACUCUUUAAAAAAAAAAACUAGGAUUCUAGAGUAUAUUUAGCCAUCCGUAUUUGCAAGUGUUAUAUUUAAAUUUUGAGGUACUGUUGAGAAUAUAGUGUGUACAGUGAAGUCUGUUAGCACAGUAGAGUUGGUUAGUUAGUUGCAACAGUGAAGUUAGUUAGUUAGUUAGUUCCUUUUCAUUAUUCUAGAAUUCAGUAGAUGCUUCUAGAUUUUAGUAAUUAGAAAUUGUAUAUAAGGAACACAAUGUAACACUUAUAGUUUCAGUUUUUCUUCAAUGAAAGUUUUCUCUCUUCUCUUUCAAUCCAGUACCUCUGUGCACAAGCUUGACCACUAUUAAUGGAGGAACAGAGCAAUUUAGGAGACUUAUGAUGCUGAUUUUAUCAUGGUAUCAGAGCUCGGUUGAUUGGUUGUGUUCUUCCUCCAUCUUCGAUUUACUUCGUAAGUUUUUUUUUCCGCUGUAAUUGUGAAUUUCUGUUGCUAUUCACUUUCGCGAUCUACAUCUGAUUCAUCUUUGCUGUUGAGUUCUCUGGUUUAUUGCACAAAUUGAAUUCUCAUUUUGUGAUUGAAUCACUUCGCGAACAAAUCGAACAUCAUGGUUGAUCCCCAAGCUGAUCCUGCUUCUAGUUCGUCCACAGUUCGAAUGGAUUUUACCAGUCCUUUUUACUUACAUCCUUCAGAGAGUGCAGGUUCCUCUCUUUUACCUGCAGUUUUUUAUGGCACUGGGUAUAGAUCUUGGAGAAGGGCUAUUCUUAGAGCUCUUUCAGUCAAGAGUAAAAUAGGGUUUAUUAACGGAACAAUUGUGCAACCUACUCAUACUGAUCCCAGUUUCAUGCAGUGGGAGAGGUGUGAUGACAUGGUCACCUCUUGGAUUCUGAAUUCCCUGUCCGCAGAAUUGCGUGAUAGUUUGCAGUAUGUGAACAAUGCCAAGGAACUUUGGGCAGAGUUGGAAGAGAGAUACGAUCAGACAAAUGGUUGUAAGAUGUAUCAGUUGCAAAAGGAGAUCAAUGAUCUUGUCCAAGGCACUCUGGACAUUACUGGAUAUUACACAAAGAUGAAGAAGUUGUGGGAGGAAAUGAGUACCAUCGAUGUUAAUUCUCAGUGCACUUGUGUGUGUGUUUGUGGUGGUAAGACAAGAAUGCACAAAGCUGAGCAAGACAAGAGACUCAUACAUUUUUUGAUGGGACUAAGUGAGAUGUAUACAACUGUUAGAGGCAAUAUUCUCAUGAUGAACAUACUUCCUACCAUGGCUCAAACCUUUGCCAUCUUGUCCCAAGAGGAAAAACAAAGAGAGGUGAGACCUCACAAUCAUACAGCCUUAGAUUCUACCUCACUUAAUGCAUAUGGCCAGACCAACAGUAGUGCAUUCAGAACUAAUUACAGUUCAUCUAGAGGGGGUGGAACCAGCUCUACAAAUACAAACACCAAUGCUGUGUUUAGGGGAAAUUGCAGUACUAGCAGGUCAUCUUUGUUUUGUGAUUACUGCAAGAAAUCAGGGCACACAAAGGAUAGAUGCUACAAGCUACAUGGGUAUCCAUCUAAUCCAAGGUUUCAAAAAAGAAAAGGAACAGGUUCUGCAGCAAAUGUAUGUGCAUCUGAUAUGAAUGGGCAUCAGGCUGAGGAGGGACCUGAAAUCAAGAGGCAAAUGCCACUAAACUUGUCCAAAGAUCAAUAUGAACAACUGCUUAACUUUUUAGGGACUCUGCAGGUUGGAAAUGGAGCCUCUGACUCAGACAACUCAGACAUUAUGUUGAAUGGAGCUGUGAAUCUGGCAGGUAUACUUGCUUGUUACUCCUCUAUUACUGAUAUUGGUGAUCUUUCUUGUAAAUGUGUCAAACUAAAUGUUGGCUAUUUGGAUCAUAGACUCAGGAGCAUCACACCACAUGACUUACAGCAAAACCAACCUCACAAACAUUAAAUCACUUCCAUACCCAUUCCUAAUUUCAUUGCCUAAUGGUUAUAAGGUCAAAGUGAUUGAAAUUGGUGAUGUUUGCUUAAGUCCAGCACUGACUCUGAACAAAGUAUUGUUUGUUCCUAGCUUUAAGUUUAAUCUGAUCUCUGUUAAUUGCCUAGCACUACAACUCAAUGGUAUAGUCAGCUUUAACAAAUCUUUUUGUUUACUACAGGGCCCUUCUCUGAAGAGCCCUCUGGAACUUGGUAGAGCCAAGAAUGGUCUGUACUUCCUAUGUCACAAGUGCCACAACUGUUAUGCAUCCUCUGCUCAAGAUAAUCCACAUGUUACUUGUCAUCUUGUUCCUUCUGUAGCCAAUAUUGACAGGAAGAAAAAUCCUAAUGUGUGCACCACAUCUUUUGUAAAAAGCCCUUCUAUUUAUAAAGAAGUUUGCAAUGCUGUUAAUUCUCAUUCUUCUCAUUCUUGUCUCACUGAUUCUUGUUCCUCAUUUGCUAAUACUUCCACUCAUACUCAUGAUGAUGAACUAUUAUGGCAUGCUAGAUUAGGACAUGUACCUUUUGUAAAAAUGAAAAACAUUUCAAAUAUCCCUAUAAAUUUUUCAAAUAAACAGCGUUUUACUUGCACCAUAUGUCCUAUGGCUAGGCAAACUAGGAUUCCCUUUCCAGAGAGUACCACUACUACCACUAAAGUGUUUGAGUUACUACACAUUGACUUAUGGGGACCAUACCACAUUCCCACUCAUGAUGGUUAUCAUUACUUUCUCACUAUGGUAGAUGACCACAGUAGAUCAAAGCCUUCAUAUCCCUCAUAGAAAAUCAAUUCCAAACCAAGCUGAAAGCUAUCGAUCUGAUAAUGGUCUGGAGUUCACUUCAGCUGAGGCCACUUACUUCUUUAAUUCCAAAGGCAUCAUACACCAAAAAACUUGUCCUUAUACACCUCAGCAAAAUGAGAUAGUGGAAAGGAAACAUAAGUACCUUCUUGAAACAGCAAGAGCUCUUUUGUUCCAGUCAAAGUUACCCAUGAGGUACUGGGGGGAUUGUGUAUUGACUGCCACAUACCUCAUAAAUAGAUUGCCCUCUCAACUGCUUCACAAUAAAUCUCCAUAUGAACUAUUAUACCACAAACAACCCACAUAUUCUCAUCUUAAAAGCUUUGGUUGUCUUUGUUUUCCCACUACCUUGAAGACUCAUAAGGACAAAUUUGAACCAAGAACCACACCUCACAUCUUUAUUGGCUAUCAUUUCAACACAAAAGGUUACAAGGUUCUGAAUUUAGCUACCAAAAAGGUUCAUAUAUCUAGAGAUGUCAUUUUUCAUGAAAAAGUAUUUCCAUUUGUCAUUGCUUCUGUUGGCUCUAGUUUUAAUUAUAUCUUACAGAUGCUAAUUCAUACCACUGAUAUAACUUGCCUGCAUGGGAAAACAAACAUUUUUGUUAAUGAUGAUUUGCUGGACAAUUUCACAUCACAUGAGAUCACUGAUGACCAAGUACCUAUUAAUACCAAUCUGACCUCAACACACUCAACACCACCUGAAAUCACUCAUGAACCUAUGACACAACAUCUUUUGUCUGAUUCCAAUAAUACUUUGCCAACACUUAGAAGAACCACUAGGACAAUUCAUACUCCCAAUUACCUCAAAGAAUACAAAUACACCUUGCCUAGCCUGCACUCCCUUACUUCUUUUAUGUCCAAACAUGAUCAUGUUUGUUUCAGCAGUUUUUGUUCUGAUAGUCAGCAGUUAGUGAAAACCAUUUCACAUGAAUGUGAACCUAAUUCAUUUGAGGAGGCAAUCUUGCAUCCUGCCUGGCAACAGGCUAUGACACAGGAAUUUGAAGCUUUGUAUAACAAUGACACUUGGGAAAUUGUCACAUUACCUGAAGGAAAGAAAACUAUUGGUUGCAAGUGGGUGUACAAAAUCAAACAUAAGGCUGAUGGGAGUGUGGAGAGGUUCAAGGCUAGAUUGGUAGUCAAAGGCUACACACAACAGGCUGGGAUAGAUUACACUGAAACCUUUUCACCUGUGGUUAAAAUGACCACUGUUAGAACCUUGAUUUUUUUGGCUGUUAAGAAAGGUUGGGAUCUAUACCAAUUGGAUGUCAACAAUGCAUUCUUGCAUGGUGAUUUAAAUGAGGAAGUGUACAUGGCACCUCCACAAGGUCUUGCUGUAGGUUGUGAUAACAUGGUGUGCAAAUUGAAGAAAUCCUUGUAUGGAUUGAAACAGGCUAGCAGACAAUGGUAUGACAAGUUGGCACACAGUUUGUGUUCAAAAGGAUAUCAACACUCAGAUAGUGACUAUUCACUAUUCUAUAAAAGGAAAGGAUGUUCCUUGGUUUUUGUUUCCAUAUAUGUAGAUGACAUAAUUAUGACUGGGACUGAUAUUGAUGAGAUCAACUCUUUAAAGGUCUUCCUGAAUGAUUAGUUCAAGAUAAAGGAUCUGGGCAAAUUACACUACUUUCUGGGACUGGAAAUUUUAUACAGACAUGAUGGUGUUCUUGUUUCACAAAGAAAAUUUACUUCUGAUCUCUCGAAAGAUUUUGAUGUACUGAACUACAAGGCCACCACAUCACCACUUGAUUGCACUGAGAAGUUGAAAGCUACAGAUGGCAAGCUCUUGUCUGAUCCUACUCACUAUAGGAAGUUGGUUGGCAAACUAAACUUUCUUACCAACACCAGAAUGGACAUAGCUUACAGUGUACAACACUUAAGUCAAUUCAUGCAAACACCUAGGGAGCCACAUUUGAGAGCAGCUUAUCAUGUACUGAGAUACUUAAAGCAAGACCCUACAAUGGGGAUCUUCAUUUCAAACAAACCUGAUCUCACUAUUAGUGCUUAUUGUGAUUCAGACUGGGCUGCAUGCCCUGAUUCAAGGAAGUUUGUAAGUGGAUACCUAGUGCUUAUGGGUGAUAGCCCUAUCAGUUGGAAGUCUAAGAAGCAAGCCACAGUAUCCUUGUCUUCUGCUGAAGCUGAAUACAGAGCUGUAAGACAAGUUGUGGGAGAAUUAGUGUGGCUUGAAAGGCUGCUUGAUGAAUUGACUAUCAAAUGCUCCUUGCCAAUACAUGUCCAUUGUGACUGCCAAGCAACAGUCCAUAUUGCUAAGAAUCCAGUCUUUCAUGAGAGGACAAAACACAUAGAAAUCGACUGUCACUUUGUUAGGACUAAAAUCCAACAAGGCUUGAUCACACUCCAUCACAUCCCCACUGAUUCACAGUUGGCAGAUAUCUUUACCAAGGCUUUGACUGGGGUUAAACAUACUACUCUAUUGAACAAGUUGUCUGUAAUUACCUCACCUCCAACUUGAGGGGGGGUGUUGAGAAUAUAGUGUGUACAGUGAAGUCUGUUAGCACAGUAGAGUUGGUUAGUUAGUUGAAACAGUGAAGUUAGUUAGUUAGUUAGUUGCUUUUCAUUAUUCUAGAAUUGAGUAGAUGCUUCUAGAUUUUAGUAAUUAGAAAUUGUAUAUAAGGAACACAAUGUAACACUUAUAGUUUCAGUUUUUCUUCAAUGAAAGUUCUCUCUUCUCUUUCAAUCCAGUACCUCUGUGCACAAGCUUGACCUCCAUUAAUGGAGGAACAGAGCAAUUUAGCAGACUUAUGCUGCUGAUUUUAUCAGGUACUUAGAAACAUUGUGAUACUAAUUUCAUUAAGAGUAUAUAUAUCCGCACAUAGACGAUUUCAAACUUUCAUAUAUACUACUUUAUAUUUUCGAUCAGUGAAGUACUUAUAUCCAAAUUAAAAAAAAUGUAAAUACUUCUUUUCAAUUUCAACUUAAAAAUACAACUACUGUAACAAAUAGUACUAUAGUUUAUACCAAAUUAAAUUGAUCAAAAAAAUGUUUAAGUUAUACAAGCUUCCCUUAUUUUAGAAUAAUUUCCAAUUAAUGUGGGUAAAAGUUAAUAAAUCCGCUAACCAUACAAAAAGUUGGUGGAGUUGAAAUUUUCCUUUUAUUGAAACUAGUCAAGCAAAAUACAAGUUGGUAUGACUUGUUUAUAAGACUGCGACAAACAGUUUUAGUAUGGAGAUGUAUUAAUCAAUGAAGAAGUUGAUCAACUAAUAAAGUUAAAUCCAAUUAAUAUUCGUUCCUCGUGUAUAUUUAUAUUAUAUCCCUCAAGCAAGUAUGAUAUACAAUUUAAUUAAUUAUAUCAGCUUAAUGAUAAACCAUUAAGGAUUGGAUCCAAAAAUCCGAAUCCAUAAGUGUUUAAUGUGUUUGUGCCUAUUUGUAGCUCCAAAUGAAAAUCCGAAACUCAGUAAGUACUGUUGGAGCCUGACCUGCCUCAUUUCAUAGAAAACUACAAUUGGGAAAUGUACAGAAAUCUUAUAUAUUUAGAGGCUAAUUAUAUUUUAUUUACCAAAAGUUUUCUCAAUACUCCGAUACUUUUCUUAAUUAUGUGAUACAUUGCAAAUGAUACAUUACUUAAUGAGAGAGAUGUAUUCAAGGGGGGAUAGGUAUGGAGAUGAUUCCGAAAGGAAUUUUUGUAAUUUUUAUAAAAGAUAGGAAAUUUUAAAAAUUAUGAUAUCUUAAGUUAUGUAUCUAUGUAUUUUUUUUCAUUAUUUUAUUUUCAAUAAUUUUGAAUAUAUAUUUAGCCAUCCGUAUUUGCAAGUAUUAGAUUUAAAUAUACUUUGAAUUUUGAAACAUUGUGAUAUUAAUUUCAGGAAGAGUAUGUCAAGAGAUAAUUUAUUUGUCCGAUUAUUCUUAUAUUUGCUUAUAUGUUUUCUUAUAGUAUAUUAUAAUGUUAUUUCGUCAUAAAUCCAAGACAGAAAAGAGACUAGAAGAUUUAAAAUCUAGAACCAUUAUAUUUAUUGUAUUAAUACUCGAUACUUAACUUUAUAUUAAUUUUUCAACAUAUUAAUUAGUACUAAAUUUCUGGUAUAUAUAAGCAUAUCUCAAGGCUGAUCAUCAACUAGUGAUGGUGAUGGAGACGGUGCGUCACAGCGACAUGGUGGAAGCGCUGGUGGCGAAGGCAUUGGUUGGUCCUCAACUGACGGUGGAAGCGCUGGUGGCGGAAUCAUUGGUGGCUCCUCAACUGGUGGCUCCUCAGUUGGCGGAGUAGGUGGUGGCCUCUUAGGCCGAGGACUAGGGGGAUGACGAUGACGAUGUCCAUGUCGAUGUCGAUGUGGAAUCCUAAAUCUUAAAGAUUCAUGAGAUGAAUAUUCAUCAGUGAGUUGAUCUCCAUUAGUGAGCUCUAAGAAUGAGCUAACUACUAAAACUGAAACUACAAAUAGCCACUUCCCUGAUAUGAUAGCCAUAAUACUAGUUGUUAUAAUUCUUUCAAAUCUCUAUGUUGAGUAUGUAAAAUAACGUUAAAAGGGACCAAAUUUAUAGGACCAUGCAUGCAAAAAGAACAUUUAUGAAAUUUUAGUUGGGACAAUGGGGCUCAACUAUUAAAUGAGUUUUCCCUAACUAAAUAGAAUUUCAUUUGCAAGAUUAUCAAAUAUUUUUAGCCUUCAUCAGUAAAUAUUCCAUUAAGAUAUUUAUUAGUACUAUAACAACUAAAACACUAUCUUUAAACCUAUGUGUUCACACGUUCUAAAUAUUUGUUAAUCCACGGUGAGGAUUGUUUUAUCAAGAUUUAGGGGUAAAAAAUAAUACUCCUUCUGUUUAAAAAAGAAUGACCUCAUUUCAUUUUUAGUUUGUUUCAAAAAGAAUGAUCCUUUCCUUUUUUGACAUAACUUUAAUUUAGAACCACAAAAUUAAAAAGUCUUAUUUUCUUAAACUCCGUUUCAAGUCAAACUAGGACAUUUUUUUUGAAACGGAAGGAGUAUAUUUUUUUAAGUAGUAGCAUUAGUUGAAGAAAAAUUCAUUGGUUCACUUUCUUUUACUUUUCUUAUUUUUUUUAGGGGGAAAUGAAUGGGAUUAAAUCUUUCAUCGGUGAAGGACGAAGGGCCUCAACCAAUCAAAAAAUGCUCACAUCCCUAUUCACUUUCUGUUCAAUCUAAUUGCAUAUCUAUUACUGAGAUGUGAAAUUUUAUCAAUAAUUAGAAAAACUAAUAUAGUUUAUACUUAAUUAAACUGAUCAAGAAAAUAUUUAAGUUCUACAAGCUUCCCUUAAUUUAGCAUAAUUUCCAAAUUAUGUGGGUAAAAGUUAAUAAACUCUCUGACCACGUCACCAAAAGUUAGUGGAUUUGAAAUUUCCUUUUAUUGAAACUAGUCAUAGUACAAAAUAUAAGUUGGUAUGACUUGUUGGUAAGACUGCAAAUAGUUUUAGUAAGGAGAUGUGAUCUCUGCCAUCACCAAUGAAACAAGUUGAACCCUAUAUAUACUCUAUUCGUCUCAAUUUAUAUUACAUCAUUUAAUUUAAUAUAAAAUUUAAGAAAUAAAGAUUUUGAAAAUUUAUGAUCUAAAAUACUCUUAGACCAUUUGUGUAACUAUAAAUCACAUCAUUAAGGAUAAAGUGCAAUUUUGAAGUAAAUUUUUUAGUUUAUAGAAAGGUGACAUUCUUUCUAAAACGGACUAAAAAUAAGUGUGUCACGUACCACGUAUAAAUUGGAACAGAAGAAGGAGUAAUAUAAGGCACUCAUGAUUACUCACUAUAAAAUCUGUCCGAAUUAAAAAGAAACCCAACCAAAACUAGAAUGGAAAAAUUCCAACAAGAUUUGAUGAAAAAAAGGAAUUACGUACCAUGAACUAAAGUUGAGCUUUAUGAAAUUAAACCCAUAAAAUUUCCCUUGUUUGUGCAAAUAUUAAUUGGGAAACUUACAUAAGAUAUACUAUAUUAAAAUAUAUUUAUCAACUAGAGCAAUAAUAUUAAUUUGCGUUUCGAAUCAAAUACCGAUUUUGGGCCUGCUAAAGCCGAAAGAGUUCAAUGGAUUUGGGGAUAUCUGUAGGCCCAACCCAUUAAUUCAAGCCCAAACAAGGCUUUGUUGAAUAACAAGGCACAACACAAAACAAGAAAAAUUAUCGCAUAAUAUCCAACCCUUUAUUGUUCAAAACUUCAUUUCAUAUUUACUUAAUAGGGUUUCAAUGUCAUCAAUUGAUUUAGAAGUCCAGUUCAUCGUUAAAACACGUUCAUUUUAUCAUGUGAAAUGAAAUUACGCAGGCUUGAUGCGAGAUUGUCCCAUACGCGUAUAAAAUCCUAGUUCAAAUUGUCUUUAAAAUAAAAAAUAGUUAAAAAAAAACAAGAGACAUACCUCAAUUUCUACUAAUUAAUGAUGAUAAAGAUAUGAAUUUUAAUCAAAUCUCAUGAAUUUCCACUUUUUUUGAAGAAAAAAAAACUAGGAUUCUAGAGUAUAUUUAGCCAUCCGUAUUUGCAAGUAUUAUUUUUUGACUUUGAGGUACUUAGAAACAUUGUGAUACUAAUUUCAUUAAGAGUAUAUAUAUCCGCUCAUAGACGAUUUCAAACUUUCAUGUAUAACACUGUAUAUUUUCGAUCAGUGAAGUAAUUAUAUCCAAAUACAAAAAUUUAUAUACUUCUUUUCAAUUUCAACUUAAAGAUACUGUAACAAAUAGUACUAUAGUUUAUACCUAAUUAAACUGAUCAAGAAAAUGUUUAAGUUGUACAAGCUUCCCUUAUUUUAGAAUAAUUUCCAAAUAAUAUGGGUAAAAGUUAGUGGAGUUGAAAUUUUCCUUUUAUCGAAAAUAGUCAUGCAAAAUACAAGUUGGUAUGACUUGUUGGUAAGACUGCGACAAACAGUUUUAGUAUGGGUAUGUGAUCAUCAAUGAAGAAGUUGGUCAACUACUAAAGUUAAAGGCUUAAGUCAUGACGGUCCCUUAAAAUUGUCCGCAUAUUUUACUUAGACACAUCAACACAUCCAUUUUCCUAUUAGACACUUCAAUCUUAAAAAAUAAAUACCUAUCAAACAUUUUUCUGACACCUAGUUAAAAAAUGAAUUGCGUGUAAUGCACAUGCGGUUGAUAUGGCAAAAUAACAAAUUAAACGAAGACAUGUGGCAUUUUAAUUUAAUUAUUUUAAAUAAAUGAAAUUUAAAUAUAAAGAAAUCUAAAUCUAAAAAGAAAAAGAGUUUCAACUAAAAAAAAAAAGAAAAAUCUACUUAAACCACACCCACCCGAACCGCCGCACCCCCACCCACCCCAAACCUCCCCCUUCUUUUCUUUCCCUAAAAGAUAUCCCUUGUCCACCAUUGUUAUUGUUCAUCUUGGGGAAAAAAUUGGAGAUUUUAACAUAUACUAAGUAUGAAUUCACCAUUUUUGUUUCAAUUUAUGCCGUAUUUUUUAUUCCUAUUUUAAAUUGAUGCUAUUUUUUCUUUAAAAAAUCUGUUCUUCCUUUUUUAAUUUUGAUUUCGAAUUUUGAUUCUGCUUUGUUGUGGAGGAAGAAGGGGUGUGAAUCAUGGAUGGUGUAUAUGGUCUCCAUUUUUUCUGGUAAAGGAAAUGUGGAUGGUAGUUUUCAUUUUUUCCGGCGAAAAUGACAGCGGAAUAUAAUUCUAAAUCUGAAAAAUUAAUACAAUGACAAUUGACAAGAGGGUUAAAAAAAAAUGAAGAGAUGUCAUUGUGUACAACAAAGCUAGGGUUUAUCUGCUCUAAUAAAAUUACUAUUAACGCGGAUAAAAAUAUGAUAAACAACAUAUUAGUGCUUGAAAUGUAAGAAAUAAAGUGAAUAUGGAUUUCUUGUUGCCUGCAUCGUUGGAAUUUUUAUCAAAUUUAAGUAUAAACUUAGAAGAAGUAAAUUUGUAAAAAAAUGUUGAUGGUGGAUUGUUAUGAAGAAAUAGGAGCAGCAGGGGUCGUGCAAUUUUGAAGGAGAGGAAAUUGGAAAAGAUUGUUAUUUUUUAAGAAAAAAAGGUUGAAAAUGUGUUUGAUUAAAUGAUUCACGCGCCCAAUAUGGCGUGAAUCUCACUUUUUGUGCCACAUAUGCAGAAAGUGUCUAAUUGGUUCAAAUUCAGAAUAGUCAAGGUGUUCGAUAGGUACAAGUCCUAGUUAAAGUGUUUAAGUGAAUUAUGCGGACAACUUUAGGGGCGGUGUAUGACUUAAGCCAAAGUUAAAUCCAAUUAAUAUCCGUUCCUCAUGUAUAUUUUUAUUAGGCGGAAUGACCUUGGAAACCCUUAUACUUGGCUCAGAUUGUCAACUAGACCCUUCUACUCAUGACUUUGCCAAUUGAAAAACUCAAUGAAACACAAUAUUUUAAACCCCUUUGACCAUUGACCAAUUAUAUGUGGCAACUUAUUAGUUGAGGUGGAACAAACGUGUGAUCUCACGCGUUAAAAUAGCGUAAACAGAAAAAUUUGAGACUAAAACCAAUUAAAAGAAAAGAAAAAAUAAAUAAAAAGACAAAUCUUCUUUUCCCCAUUUUCUUUUCUUUCUUACCCAACACCACUAUCGCUCUUCCCCUCACCUAGUCCCCAUUUUUCUUUCGUGCUCCCUUUCCCCAUUUUUACAAUCUUUAAUAUGUUUGCAAAAAGUAUUUCAGAAAUCCUAGAAGUAGUUGCUUCAGUCUUUGUGAUAAAAAUAUAUAAAGAGAAGCUAUUGGGGGAUUGGGGAGGGGUAAUUUACAGGCGGCUAGGUAAUAGAGAUCUGCUUAUUUUGGAGAGUGAAGAAUGAUUAUUGUAUGUCUUUGUAAAAUUAAGUGGAACAUAUAUAUAUAUUAGAACAUAUUAAGAUAUUUUAGGGUGGUUCAUUGGCAUUAAUGGAGGAAACAGAUUCACAAUGGUUCAAGUGGUGGAUGAAGACCUUGGUAAAAAAAAAUGGAGAAAAAUUAUGAACUAUGAAAACUUGGAGAACAAUGAUAAUUUUUAGUUAUUUAAGGUAGUGAUAACCAGUAAGGAAUAAGGAUGUAAGAUGGCAAUGGUGUCUUUGGUGAAAAAAGGGAGGGAGAUGGUCAAGGAUAAAGUUAGUGUGAGGAAGAAACAUAGUGGAAAAAGAAAAAAAAUGAAAAUUUUAAAAUCACACAUUAAAAAUAACUGUUUUAAAUCACAAAAUUACAAAGUUUUUAAAAAGAAGAAUAAAAUAGUUUCAAGUUAAGCGAUAAUCGCAUAAGUUAAAGGGAAAAUUAUGCGGUUAAGCAAACAUAUACUAGUUAAUUAACUAUCAUAGCUAUAGUUUGCAUUAAUUACAAUUCGGAACUUACUUCUAGCUAUAAUUACACUCCUCUCUCUCACCUUUCGCCCUUCUUCCUCUCUCUCGCCUCUCUCCUCUUUUUCAGUCAUCUCUCCCUCGCUUCUCUCCUCUCCCUGCCCAGUCUCUCUCUUGAUUCUCUUAUGUCAAUCUCUCUCUCACUUUAUACAAACACAAAUUAUACAAACAUAACGUAUAAUUUGUUAGUGUUUGUAUAAAGCGAGAGAGACGAGAUACACAAAUACAAAUACAAAUUUAUCCCUGCCCAGUUCUCUUUUGUCUUCCCCUCUCUCUCUCUAUACAAACACAAAUUUUACAAAUACAAAUGUAUAAUUUGUGUUUGUAUAAAGUGAGAGAGACUUGAUAUACAAAUACAAAUGUUUGAACUCGAUUCAAUUGUAUACGGAAGCAAAUUGUAUGCAGAUAUACAAAUACAAUCAUUGAUACAUAUACAUACUAGUUAUAUAUAUAAAUACAAUUACCUAACCGAUGUACAUAUAAAACUCGCAUCUCUCCAUUCUCUGCCCUCUCACCCUCACCUCUCUCCUUCCUCUCCCAAUCUCGCUCGCUUUUUUCUCCCUCUAACAUGUAGCUACUAAUCGUAAUUAGUAAACUAUAGCUAUGGAACAUAAUUAAAACUAUUUUAGUGGCUAUUUGUGAAAGUUGCUCCAAAAUUAAAACGGGAGUCUAUGACAAUCCAUGAAGGUGUUAGGUGUGCGGUGGCUGAAACCAGUCACACAAAACCAUAAGCCCAUAAUAUUAUGUUAGAAAAAGGCACAAACACUUUAUAAAUCCCUUUCACUUGUUUGGGCUUUAAACAUUACAUAAACGAAAUUGAAAAAACAAGAAAAUUAAACUACAUUCUUCUUUCCUCAUACAUGAUCAUUUAUUAAUGGAAAUAACAAGAACACAAUCUUUAAUUUGUUUCUUUCUCCAACACUUAAAUUAACUCCUUAAACAUUCAUCAUCCCUUCCUAUCUUAAUUUCUAAUUUGCCAAGUUAAUUAGUACUUCUUGCAAGGCACUUUCUUUGAAGCUUCAAAUCCGAAAGGUCCAACAGUAAAGAAAUCAUAUUUAGGGGUGGGUGGUUUAAUAGGGAGAUGAGUAGCUGGAGCUGGUGGGGUGUACUUCAAUAGUGCACCAGAUUUGCCGUCAUUGUAAUUUGUUGGGACAUUACAGUAAGAAUUGUUUGAUGAUACUAAAAACACUUUGCAUUUGUGGUAGGCUCCUGAGCUUAAGAGUUUAGGAAGGAUCCAGAAGAAUCCAUUCUUGUCUGUUUCAGCCUGUUCUACUAAUGUCUUUUUGGUGUUGUUGCACACUAGCUUCACCUUGGCUCCUGCAACAUCAUAAUGUACGUACAAUCGAUAAGCAUCGAGUUCAUUUAAAAGAUAACUAUAUUUAAUUUAGCCAAUUAUAUAAGCGUAAGUUAUUGCUUAAAAUCACAUAAGGAGGUAAAUAAUGUACAUCUUUACCAAUGUGGAAACUCAACGGCUACUCAAGUCUCAAGAUCGAUUGGACAUCUGAAUCUUGGAUAAUAUAAGAUGGCAUCCAAAAUUCAGUAAAUCGUGAAUUUGGAUGUAUAGAUUCUAAUUCCAUGAUUAAAAAAAAAGUUUUACGUCUAAUUCAACCACAAAAGUUCAAGAGUAAGACCAUAUAAGGUGAAAAACUAUGUACAUCACUACUACCAAUGUGAAAAUUGGGACAUGUAAAUACAUGGUCGCUUUGUAAAAUUAGAUAUUUUAUGUAUACAUUUUCUAAAAUUAGUAUAAUAUUAUCGGUUGAUGCUCAGAAGACUAAAUGGUGCAUUUGAUUGAAAGUUGAGUUAUUUAUGAGAUGAGUUUUAAUGUAGUAAAAAAAAAGGAAAAAGGAUAUUGAAGAAAUUACCCUGAAGUGGUUUAGCUUGGUUAAGAGUAUUAAUCCCUCUAAACUUGCAAGGUUUGCAGUAAACAAGUCCUCUUACAGCUACAGGUUUCCUAGAAGGAUAAUAAGGUGAUGGUGUUGGUGGCUUAACUGGUGGCUUAGCUGGUGGUUUUGAUGGGCUAUAAGUUGGUGGCUUAUAUGGAGCUUUAGUUGGUGGCUUAGUUGGAGCUUUAGUUGGUGGCUUUGUUGGAUAAUAAAUUGGUGAAGGGGCUGGGGAACUUAUGGGGUGGGGGUGGGGAUGGUGGUGGUGGUGGUGGUGUGGCUUAGGGGCUUGAGCUGGUGCAAGGUGGUCAACAUUUUUGUCUAAUGAGUACCACUCAUCUUGAGCAUGGCUAACAAUUGUGAAUGAGCUAAGUAAUAAAACUGAAAGCUGAAAAAGAACAAGGGCCUUUGCCAUUGUUGCUAAAUUUUCCUCAACUGAAUUUAGCUAGUUGUGUGUGUAAAGGGAAGUAAGAGGCAUGAAUUUAUAGGGGCACAAUUAUAAGCUUCUAAAUUCGAUUUUUUUUUUUUAUUAUUUUUUUUGUAUAAUUUUUCUAGUUAGAAGUGAGUUUUAAGAAUAGUUUAUUUUUAAAAAUAUUAAAGCAUCAAUUUGUGCUUGAUUAAGAUUUCAAAAGUAUUUCUAAAAAAAAUACGCACUGAAAAAAUAAUUUUUGAAACUAUUCAAAAACACUUAUUUCUUCCUAAAAUCUUGAUCAAACUUUAAAAAAAUAAGCAUUUUAAACUUCCAAAACACAGACCAAAAAGAUAUACAAUAUCUAGAUGUAGCUGGCUGGAGAUAACAAAUAUUUAAUAUAAUUGUCGAGGUGCGUUCAAACUAACCUAAUAGAUAAUGGGUCAAAGAGUCAGUCUUUAUAAUUUGUUUUGUUUAUAUACAUAGGAUUAUAGUAUAUUACUCCACCAAUUCUGACCUAAUGUGUCCUUAAUGUUAGGGUUUGAAUUAAUCUUCAUUAAAGCAAGAAUCUAGCUAUAGAAGUCUUAACUAGGGAAGACAAGUGCUUAAAUGCUGCACAUGCAAGGAUUGGAAGGGCAUGUAGAAGUUUCCUAUGAGUGAUAUUGUUCAUGUACACUGUAAAAGAAAAGGAUGGUAAAAGAAGACCUUGUUCAUGCAAUGUUUUCAUCUUUGUCUCCCUCUUAAUAUAGCAAUGAGAUAUAUAGUAUAUUGUUUGUUAAUUCCACAUCAUGCUUGGUUUGGUUGAAAAUUGAAUUUUUCAUAAAAUUAUGGUACAUAACGAGAUUAAUUAAUUUGUAAUGUUUAUGAGCUAGAUUGAUAUUUCAAUCUUUUUUCUAAGAAUAUUUUGAUUAUGACAUUGAUAUUUCAAUCACUUUGUGAAAUAGCUUGUAAACUAUACAAGAGAUGAAAAUCACACUAGGCACAUUUCAUGUGACGAGUUCAUAGUUGAAUAACAAAUGAAGGCUAAAUUUGAUCCUAGUCUCCCAACCACUCAACCAUUAUUUGUGGUUAAACAAAAUCACUUUAGGUAGUGAUCCAAAAUACUUCAUAAAGAUUAAUUGAGAGACCCAAUGAAAAACGAAGAUUACUUAUUUAAAUUGGUCAACUAGUGAUUAAAAAAAAAGUUAGUACAUGACAACACAGGCUUGGCCGCACAGCUUUUAAAUCUUGUGAAGAUGAGUCUUAUCCAAGCAACCAAUAGAAAUUUUCUAAAAAGAAUUUUUAUUCUCACACAAGUACUGUUCAAUUUUGAGAAGGAACUCGUUGUAUAUUUUUUUUCUUUAUUCGAUGUCUGAUAUUUAUGUUGAAUUAUAUCAUGCCUUUAAAAUAUUUCUUAACCUAAAGAUUUCCAUUCUUAAAAGUUAAAUCCAAUGUUUUCUUUAUUAUGGGCAUAAAGCGUGUAGGUUAACAAAUUGGAGGAAAGUGGGUCUUACUGAUCCAUUUAAAAUAUAUUACGGUGAAUUCCAAUUGUCUUAGAAAUAAUCACCUUUGCAUGUGUUCACAUUAAAAUUUUGAACAGAAAUAAUAGCUUAAUUAUUUCUUUGUACAGGUGCAUAUGGCAUCUUCUAAAGUCAAGUGCUAUAUUAUUACUUUUUUGACACCAGAGUUAAAUUAUUUUUAACUAUAGAAGACGUAUCUAAUCUAGUUUUUUCUGCUAUACCAAUUAAAUGCGUCGUAUCAUAUUCGAAACUGGGUUAAACAAUCAUAACAUAAGGCAUAAUUCACGUGUUUGUACACGCAAAUUCAUGUAGCAAUUGGUUGCAAGACAAAUCGAAAAAAGACAAAAAAAAAGUUUACCUAUUAUACUCUCAAUUAAUUAUUUUGAAAAAGGUAGAACUUCUUAAAACUCUUAAGUUUUUAAUUCAUCUACUUCAUAAUUAAUAGGGGUAAAAUGAUAAACUUACUAUGUCAAUCAUUGUUAUCUUUAUAGAUGUGUCAAUUUAAAAGUGAACAAGUAAUUAAAGACAUGAAUUAUUUGUUAUAGGGAAAAAAGAAGAGGAAAACCUUGGAAGAGAUCAUAGACUAGUUAUCAAUCAAUGUAGAUUCCAAAAUGGGUUUCGUUGUUUGACCUUCGCUUAUUAAACAAGCAUAAUCCAUGUUCCUCGCACAAAUCUCCAUGUAUAAAUGUUGAUGAAUUAAUUAUCUUCUAUUUCCACUGUCUCAAAUUAUUUGUUUAUUUUUUUUUUAUUUGUUUCUAAUUAUUUGUCUAUUUUGAUAAGACAAAAAUACUCAUUACUCCCCUGAAUUUGAAGCUUUUUAUACGGUGUACACCUAAACUAAAUUCCGUUUUAAUUACCCCCGAACUUGUUUAUUCCUCCGUCGCGUACACCUUUUCGUCCACCUGGCGUAGAAAUUGACAACACACUCUACUAGGCGCGUGAGGAAGUGAUUUUUUGCCACAUCACAAAGCUGCUACAACGGUAAAAAAAUGUAAAAUCUCCAGUUUUCUUUAAUAUUUGGCAUAUUUUAAACGAAAAAUAGGGCAAAAUGUAAAUGAAAAGUAAAGGAAACAAAGAUUAACACUUACUUGGUAAGAAUUUCAGACAAAUUUGAAAUUUAAUCGACCAACUUCACGUCUAGAAAAACUCAAAUCCAGAAAGAGUUCCGCGAAAUUAGCCCUUAUUCAAAAAUAACUUUUGAACAAUGAAUUUUAAAUUUAAGAAAUUUAUUUUUUGCAAUAUUAAUUUAUCCAGGUGGCUAUUAUUUAUCCAGGUGGAAAUCCACAUCACCACUUUUGUCAGCUAUCGCGCGCGUGUAGUCACAAUAGGAGCAGGUGUACGAAAAAGGUGUAUGCGACGGAGGAAUAAAACAAGUUCGGGGGUAAUUAAAAACGGAAUUUAGUUUAGGUGUACACCGUAUAAAAAGUUUCAAGUUCAAGGGGGUAAUGAGUAUUUUUGCCUUUUGAUAAAUCAAAAAAGAACAAAUUUUUUUACCUAUUAUACUCUCACUGAAUUACUUUGAAAAAGGUAGAACUUCUUAAAAAUCUUAAGUUUUUAAUUCAUUCACUUCAUAAUUAAUAGGGUAAAAUGAUAAACUCACUAUGUUAAUAAUUGUUUUCUUAAUAAGUGUGUCAAUUCAAGAGUGGACAAGUAAUUAGGGACAGAGCGAGUAUUAAGUUAAGAGUAAAAAGUAUGUACAUUUAAAUUAUCUCAAUUUUUUAAAUUUAUAUCCGAACUAUAUAUUGAGAAUGUGAAUUUAUUACCUGUAAUAGUUAGCAAAACAUAUCUUUAUGACUAAUUUCUCAUGAUAUGUGUACAUUUUCUCGUUUGUUUAAAAAUUAUGUCACGUGACAAUCUGCGUGGAAAAAUAAUUCUACUAUGACAAAUCUAUAUAAAUAAAUAUUAAAUUAAAAGUUAAAGGAUAAAAUUAUCACCAUAUAAAUUAGUUUAUUCCAACCGUGACAUUCAUCAUCUUCUUCUCCACUUUCUUAGCCGUAACAUUGAUAUCUCCAACUUGAAAGGGGAGUUUAGUGUUUUAAGGAAGUCAAUCAAAAAUAUUUAUUUUUUAAAAAUUAAUGUGUCAGCAAAUAAAGGUGUUAUUUAUGUCAAUUAGUAGACGACGAUUGUGUGGAUAAACGCUCGUAGAAGCAUUCCUUGACAAACAUUUGUCUAAUCAACUACAUUUAGGUGUGUUUCGCUAUCCAUGGGUGAUAGUUCAGAUAGGAAACUCACUCAAUAGUUCACGUAGGAACCUCAAAAAAUGAGAUAGUUUUAAUGUGUUUUUUAUCUUUAAUUCUGAUGUAUAUUUGGGAUCUCAAAGGAUAAAAAAAAAAACUUAAUAUUAUGAUGAAAUACUACUCUAUUAUAGAGAACGGUUAUUAUAGAAAAAAUGAAAACUUUUCUCAAUUCAAGAAAAUAUGAAAGUUUGUAAAGAUUAUUAUAUGAUUGAAAAUAAACUACAACUUUGUUAAUAAAAUAUCUGAAGUUUAAAUUGAAUAACAACCAGAGAGAAAGUUGAGAUGAAGCAAUUCCUCUCGUGUAUCUUACGUAAGUUUCAAGUGGCUGUGGACUUCCCCAUUGACCUAGUAUUGGUUUAGUGAGUAUUUUCACCAGAUACAAACUUUUGUGGCCUCACAAAUUAAACCAACCAUAUGAAGGGACCAAACCUGGCCGGGCCGUCAAUCCUAACCACUAUUUUAAGGUUUGAUAUACCUCUCGUUAUGAAAGUGACUCAUUAUAUCCUUAAUAUUAUAUAAAUGACUCACAUAUACCUUUUUCCUCUAACGAAAGUGAAAAAACUAAUAUGAUAGUGAAAUUUAUUUAUGUUUCACCAAUUUUCUUGUAAAAUUUAUCAUAGAUGCCCCAUUUUUUAAACUACUAUUUACAAAAACCAACUUACAAUACAGCCGCAAAAAAAUUAGUUUUAGAUUUUUUUUUUCUUUACCCUAAAAAAUGAAAGAAAAAAAGAAUAAGAAACUCGAAUAGUGAUAAUCAAAGAAGUCAAAAAAUUAUUUUUAUAUGAAAAAGAUUAAAAUAUACCUUGAACUUUGCUAGAAGGAUCAUAUAUAUACCCCUACAUGAAUGUUUUUAACAUUUUAAGUCAAAAAAUAAAUUCAAAACUAUUUUUUUCACUUUCAUUAGAUGGAGGGUGUAUUUGAGCUCCUUUUGUAACGGUAAGGGUAUAUGUGUGCCAUUUAUAGAACAGCAAGGGCAUAUAUGAGCACUUUCAUAACGAGAAAUGUAUCAGCUCUAAAUGACAUAGUUAAGGGGUAUAUCAGACCAUUUUCCAUAUUUUAUUUACUAUACUAUGAUUGGGAGUUUCAAAGUGCUCAUCAUCAGGUCAACAUGUCAUGCCUGCUUGAGCACUUUGAGAGUAAUUCCUAUAAUUUCGUUUUGUUUGUUUUAUUUUUUAGUUUUUUAUAUAUUUAAAAAUUAUGUAAAAUAUAUUAUUUAUAAUCAUGAUAAUUGACAACUUAAAUUUUUUUAAAAAUAUAUUAAAAAGUUCGUUGAUUCUUGAAAUUAAUCUAUUAUGAAAAUUGUGUACAUAUUAUAUAGGGAAAAUGGUUAAAAAUAUCCCUUAACUUUGUUUUAUUGAUUGACUAUGUCCUUACCGUUAAAACAAUGUUAUUUUUAACCCUGUCGUUACUAAUUUCAUUAUUUUUGUCCCUCAAUUGGAUGAAAUGCCCCAAAUAACUUAAACUAACCCAAUUUCAACUGAUAUUACCCAAUUAUCUAUUUUAACCCUAACCCAAACCCGACCCAGGUUACUAAUAUUUCCUAAUCUUCAAAAUCAAAAUCAUAUUUGAGACUUUCCUAUGAAUUGACCGAAAAUUGAUGACUGAAAUUCGUACACAAGUGAAAAGCCAAUCCAAUAUCCCCUUCUUUCUCGCAAGCGGCAGAUUUUUGUCAUCAGUUUCUUCAUCUCCAUUUUUCAGCUACCGUUUAAUCCAUUCUUUCUUUAAUCUUGAUCAAUUUUACUUGUAAUGAAAUUUGGAUCUCUGUUGUUGUCAAAUGGGUGCCUAAAUUUAGGGGAAUGUAUAGCAGAUGAUUCAGAUUGUCAACUCCGUGAAAUUUGGGGUUUCCCCCUUUCUAAUGCUAGAUUUGCGAUUGAGGUGUAGUUGAAAAUUGUGUUGUCGAAAUUCGUGUAGGAAAUUUCAACUUUUAAUGGUUUUCAAUAUGUUGAUUCUAUUAGUGGGCGGAUGGAUUAUAUUUGAAGAAUUUCUUUCUGUAUCCUCAGAGAAGAAUUGAUCAGAGCAAUUUAGAUUGAGUAAUUUGUCUUUGAGACAAGAAGAACAAAUCCCAGCUGGAGAUGAAUUUGGAUGUUUCAUACAGGGGAUAUUUGAUGAAACAAAGUAAUUGAAAUCUGAAAUUUUGGUGUUUUCGCCAUUAAUGGUGUUUGUAGCUGCAACUUUGCCUAUCUUUCAUGACAAUUCUUGAUUUCGUUGUGAAGGAGAUUGAAAAUGAAGGAAUUGAGGGUUAGCUUCUAGUAAGAGGAAAAAAGAGAGAAUUGAGGCUUUCGCUUUAGGUUUGUUUAUUAAACAAAAUUAAUUUGUUGUUAUCUGUUAUUUAGUAUGGUGGGUUGAGUUUGGGUUAGGGUUAAAAUAGAUAAUUGGGUAAUUUCAGUUGAAAUCGGGUUAAUUGAACUUAUUUGGGGGUUUUCAUCCAAUUGAGGGGCACAAAUAAUGAAAUUAGUAAUGGUAGGGGUAAAAAUAACUUUGUUUUAACGGUAAGGGCAUAGUCAAUCAAUAAAACAAAGUUGAGGGAUAUUUUUGACCUUUUUCCAUAUUAUAAAUCAUGAUAACUUUUUUACAAUUUAAAAUAUUUUAAAAAAAAACAAAUAAAAAAUUUCGACUUUCUCCAAAUUAAUCUAUCGGUGACAGAUAAAAUAGGACAAAAGAAGUAAUAUUAUUUAGUUUGGAAAUUAUAUGAAAAUAUUAUAAAUUUCAAUAAUUAACAACAUUUGAUUGAGUUUUGAAAUUCUAUCCAAGCUACAUAUAUGGGAACAAGGGCAAUAACAUAUAUUAUUUAAAAAUUGCAUAAAAUAUACUAUAAAUCACAAUAAUUAAUAAAUUAAAAUCUGGGAUAUUAUUGAAGAUUUAGUCUUGACAAGCUUGAUUUUAGACGUGUAUAUCAGAAAUUUGCUUUGACAAAGUAAAUUUCUAACGCAUAAUUUGAAAUGGUUAAACUUAUAAAAAAGUUAUAAAAAUAAUCUGUGGAUUAAAUAAGGCCCCAAAAUCGGUUAUCUAUGACCAUGCACCCCUUUCGAUCUUCUUCUUCGUUCUUUAGUUAUAUACUUCAAAAGUUAGAUUUAGAACCAUUAAGCUAAAAAGAGAUGAAAAGUUACUUUUCUAUUUCAAUUUAUACAAUGUCAUUUAAUUGGCAUGAUAUGAACUAGGCAUAACAGAUAAAUUAGGCCCUUAACUUGACUUCGAGUUCCAAUUUUCGAUUUACACAAGUAGACAUCUAAGUAAGUACACAAGUUUUAUGUGUCACAUAAAACACCACAUAGGACAUAAAAUUGUCAUUAGAACACCACAUAGGAUGAAUGUGUAUUUAUUCAAUUUUAUAUAAAUUCAAAUGCCUAUUUGUAUUGAAUCAAGGUUGGAGGACAUAAAUGCCACUAAAGUUGUAAGAAAGAAAAAGACUGAAACUUGUGAUCCUAAUUAAUACGCAAUAAGAUUCCAUGACUAAAAAAAGAUCUCAUUUAAUUUGACGUAUAAUUAGAAAUUAAAGUUAAAUUAUUUUUAAACAUAAAUUUUUUUCAUGUUUUACGAAAAGAAAACAACAUAAUAUUAUAGAAAAUGGAGUAGUGCUUAAUGAAAACAAAUGGAAUGAGAAAAACAGUAACGAUAUAAGAUUUAUUUCCAGGAGAAAGAUGAGAUGGUGAAUAAUUACAAUACAAUACUCUCAAGUCUUAAGGCCAAACAAAAUCAACACAAAUUUUGGGAAGUUCUUCAAAAUCCUUAGCUAAAUUGAAGUCGGUGUUGAAAUUAUUUGAGGAAUUGUUGAAUACCCUUUUGUUGGAAACUCCUUUGUCAGCCACAACAGCACAAGAAUUAGAAACUGAAGAAGAAGGUGAAGUUAAAUAAUCAGUAUUUUCAUGUCUAAGUAGCUCAGCUAACAAAAGAACAAGAGAAGACAUUUGAUAAUAAAAAAAAAAUUCUAAUGAAAGAUGUUUUCAAGAUUUUUCCUUUGUUUGAUACAAUGAAUUCAAAGCACACAAAUUCCUAAUUUAUAAGCAACCAAAAGUAGGUGAAUAGUAGUAUUAAAAGCUGGCUUGACUUAAAUACUGUGUGAUAUUUAUUUAAUAUAAGAAAACAAGGGGCAAACAAAAGCAGUUGGUUCAGGAAAUAUGUGGUGAAUCCUGGAGAUUUCGAUUUAGUUCAUGUUUAUACUCCGUUCAUAUUUAUAUGUCAUCCUUAUUAAACAUAGACACUUCUCAAUAUUUGUCAUUUCACAAAAAUAAGGUAUAAAUGACACUAUUUUAUAUAUAUAUAUAUAUAUAUAUAUAUAUAGAUAUAUAGAGGAUAGUGCUAAAUGGCCAGAAAAUUUGGCCAGCCAGAAAUUUAAAAAAUCUAUAAUAUCUUUUUUAUUUAAAAUAAACUAAUCUUUUUUCAUUUUUAAAUUAAAAGAUAUUAAAGUUAAAAAGGUAAAAUACCAUUCUAGCCAAAAAAAUUGGCCAAAAGGAUUUUUCUAUAUAUAUAUAUAUUUGACUAACAUAGAAUAACUAAGUAAAUAGUUCAUGUGUAUUGGUCAGAAUAAUUAAUCAAAAUAAACUAAAUCAUAUUCAUUGAUUGAAAACUUGACUUUACGAGAACACUUAAUAAGGAUACAAUGAUAAAAUUACUUAAUUUCUUAGAAACGUGAAAUCUAAAAUAGUGACAACUAAAAAAAACCAACGUCAUAUGAAUAUCUUACUUAAUUAAUAAAUUUGAGAAAAUCUUAAUAGUUUAGUUGAUUGACUAUUUGAACACUCACCACCUUAUUGAUCCAUACUAUAAUCCCCUCCUCUAUUUUCCCAUUCCCUCCCCCAAUUUAAAUAAUAAUAAUAAUAAAUUUAUUUUAACUUUAUAAUUUUUUUUUAUGUAUAAUAACAUAAAUAUAAAAUUAGAAUAAAUAUAUUGGGUUAGACAGCACAAGUUACCGACGCGGCCCCUAGCUAUUUGUUCCUGUUGUUUUGUAGUGUAUUCUUGUUUUUGUCAAUAGUUUCGUCUUUUUGUGACUCUGCCUUUCAUUUAUAGAGGGCUCAGCCACCGCUACCUGUUUUCUCAAAAGUACUACGCUAAAAACCACGGCCUUUUGCGGUGCGAUUCUUUGUUAUUUUUAUUAAUAUAUUUCAUUAUAAAUACAUAAAUACACACGUAAUUUCAAUCUUAGAUGGUUAAGUGUCUAAAUAUAUACUGUUAAAAUUAGCGUGUUUAUUUAUUACAUAGCUGAGAUCAAGUUUAAGGGUGUCUUUUUUUUUUCCAAUUCCAUUUUCUUCGGUCAAUUCGCGGGGUUAGAUAUCGUUUUUGACUCAAUUAAGCUUAAUUGGGGUUCAAAAAAAGUAAGCUUUACUUUGGGUUUAUUUGUGGAAUAUAUUUUAGUAAAUUCUAGCCGUAUAAAAGUUUUUACGUCAUAUAUAUAAAUAUAAAAAUAAUAAUAUAUCUUUUUAGUUAAUACCCUUUGCAGAUAGUCGUUAGAUUCGAGCUCUGAGUAUAAUUUUUUUUUUUUUUAGGAAGUGUUACUCCCAAAUGGAUAGCAUGAAUAAUAAAAUAAAUAACCCUAGUUGUCAACUCUUUUGUCUUGAAUCUUUGAACUCCCAAAUCUUUGAAGUAUUCUCUAUUGAAUAAAUAACUCACUCAACAGUUCACGUAGGAACCUCAAAAAGUGAGAUAGUUUAAAUGUGUUUUUAAUCCUUAACUUUAAUGUAAUUGAAAUCUCAAAGGACAAAGAAAACUUAAUUAUUAUGAUGAAAUAUUACUCUAUUAUAGAAAACGGUUAUUCUAGAAAGAAUGAAAACUUUUCUCAAUUCAAGAAAAUAUAAAAGUUUGUAAAGAUUAGUAUGAUUGCAAAUAAACUACAACUUUGUUAAUAAAAUAUCUGAAGUUUAAAUUGAAUAACAACCAGAGAGAAAGUUGAGAUGAAGCAAUUCCUCUCGUGUAUCUUACGUAAGUUUCAAGUGGCUGUGGACUUCCCCAUUGACCUAGUGAGUAUUUUCACCAGAUAGACACUUUUGUGUCCUCACAAAUUAAACCAACCAUAUGAAGGGACCAAACUUGGCUGGGCCUAACAAUCCUAACCACUAUUUUAAGGUUUGAUACAUUUCUCGUUAUGAAAGUGACUCAUAUAUAUUCAUAAUGUUAUACAAAUGGAUCACAUACAUCCUUUUCUUUUUACGGAAGUGAAAAAAAUAAUGUUAAUUUAAUUUUUUAAUUAUUUUUUUGGAAAAAAAUAUAAUUCAUAUGGGGUAUAUUUGAUCCUCCUCAUGCGUAUUUUUUUUUUUUUUUGUUUUAAUAACUAAUUUAAAUUUAUUAUUUUGAUGGUCAAAGUUGUAUGUUUCACUAAUUUUCUUGUAAAAAUUUUCACAGAUGCCCCAUUUUUUUUAGGGAAAAUUAUAUAAAAUAGCAAACUAUUAAUUCAAAUUAAAUGUUAUAACCACAGUCCACAGUUUCAUUUAAUUCGAAUUCAUACCAAACACUUUGUCAUUCGCCUCUCUCCCCAGAAAUCUCGCUCACCACUCUCCCUGAUCUCGCUCGCAUCUCUCACUUUAUACAAACACAAAUGUAUAAAUUGUGUUUGAAUAAAGCGAGAGAAAACUGUAUAUACAAAUACAAAUACAUAUACAUAUAUUUUUGUCGUAUACACUUAUAAUUAUACAAUAUAAAUCUUCCCCUGCCCAGUUUUCUUUUGACUUUCUCUCUUUCUCGUUUUAUACAAACAAAAAUUAUACAAAAUACAAUGUAUAAUUUGUGUUUGUAUAAAGCGAGAGAGCAACCCGAUUCAAUUGUAUACGAAUUCAAAUUUUAUGCAAAUAUACAAACGCAAUUUUCAUAGACACAGAAACCCGAUUUAUACAAAUUUCUGCGAUUUAUACAAAUCAGAUGCCUGCGAUUUUAUACAAAUCAAAGUUGCCUGCGAUUUUUAUACAGAUCUGAUGCUCUAUAGCAAACUAUGUUUGCUAUGGAGCACAAAUAGCAAAAUUGUAGCUAUAGAGCGCUAAUAUGAUUUUUAUAUUUGCUAAACCUAAAAUUUACUCUUUUUUAAUUUUAUUUUUACAAAUACAAAAAAGAAAUUACAAUAUAGCCACAAAAAAAAUUAAUUUUAAAUUUUUUCUUUACACUAAAGAAUGAAAGAAACUCAAAUAAUUAUAAUUAAAGAAGUCAAUAAAUAAUUUUUGUAUGAAAAUGAUUAAAAUACACCUUAAACUUUGCUAGAGGAUCAUAUAUAUGACCCUAUAUGAUUUUUUCUAAAAUUAAAGUCAAAAAAAUAAAUUUAAAACUAAUUUUUUCACUUUCAUUAGAUGAAGGGUAUAUGUGAACUCCUAUUGUAACGGUAAGAGUAUAUGUGAGUCAUUUGUAUAACGAUAAGGGUAUAUAUGAGUCACUUUCAUAAUGAGAAGUAUAUCAGAUCUAAAUGACAAAGUUAAGAAGUAUAUCAGACCAUUUUCCCUAUUUUAUUUACUAUACUAUGAGAGGGAGUUUCAAAGUGCUCAUCAACAGGCCAACAUGACAUGCCUGCUUGAGCACUUUGAGGGUGUUCCUAUAAUUUUUUGGUAAUUCAUUCGUUUUAACUAGUUUGUUUUAUUUUUUAGAUUAUAUAUAUUUAAAAAUUGUGUAAAACAUAAUACUUAUAAAUCAUAAUAAUUGACAAUUUAAAUUUUUUGAAAAAAAUAUUUUUUAAAAAUCGACUGAUUUUUGAAAUUAAUAUAUUGUUGAAUUGUGUAAAGAAAUAUGGUAAUUGACAACUUAAAAUAUUUUUAAAAAGAUAUGUAAAAAAUUCAACCGAUUCUUCAAUUAAUCUAUCGGUGAUACAUAAAAUAGGACAAAAAGAAGUAACAUGUACAGUAUUAUUUAAUUUGAAAACUAUGUAAAAAGUAUUAUAAAUCUCAAUAAUUAACAACAAUUGAUUGGGUCUUUAAAUUCUAUCUAUGCUACACACAUUGGGACAAAGGCAAUAACAUAUACUCCUUUCGUCCCAUUUUAUGUGAGGUAGUUUGACUCAGCACGGAGUUUAAGAAAGAAAGAAAGACUUUUAAAAUUUGUGGUCCAAAAUGAAUGAUAGAAAUUUGUGUGGCUGUAAAUCAUUUUCAUUAAGUGUAAAUAGACAUUUUAUAGUUAAAUUGUUACUUAAUAUAUAAAUGUGUCAUUCUUUUUGGGACUAAUGAAAAUCUAAAAAUGAAAGUAAGUCACAUAAAUUGGGAUAGAGAGAGUAUUAUUUAACAAUUACGUAAAAUGUACUAUAACUCACCAUAAUUAAUAACUUAAAAUAUUUAAAAAUUAUACUAAAAUUUAAUUGACUCUCUAAAUUGAGAUAAAAAGUAAUAGAUAUUAAGCAUGUAUCUGGUAUAUUAUUGAAGAUUUAGUCUUGGCAAGCUUGAUUUUAGACGUGUAUAGCAGAAAUUUGAUUUGAGAAAGUAAAAUUUCUAACGCAUAAUUUGAUGAAUGGCUAAACUUACAUAAAUUUAUAAAAAUAAUCCGUGGAUUAAAUAAGGCCCCAAAAUCAGUGAUCUAUGACCAUGCACCCCUUUCGAUCUUCUUCUUCGUUCUUUAGUUAUAUACUUAGGAGAAAAUGGUCAAAUGACCCCUCAACGUAUAUUCGAAUUUUUAACUAUACACUUAAACUUCACGAGAAUUCUAUCACCCCUCUGUACUAUUUAAAAUUGAAAUUAUUACCUCCCUGAAUGUUUAGUUGGCAUAGUGAAUGUAUUUCACUCUCUUUGGGAGAGUGAGUAUCAAAUCUAUUAUUAAAACCUUAAUUUUAAUAUCUCUUUUCAAUAAAUAUAUAUGCAUUUUUAAUUAUUUAUUUUUCUUAUUUGUUUUCUUUCUUCUCCAACAAUAUAAACAAAUCUCUCAAUCUUUCACCAUCUCUAAGUCGUGCUGCCCAUCUUCACCAGAUUCACUAUUAUUGAUUCCAAACAAAUUUUCAAACUCAUAAAACUCUUGCAAAAUCAAUCAACCUAAAUCAAUUGUAGAUAAGUUUACAUAUAUUUAUAUCACCCCAAGAUACUUUAGAUUCGAUUUGAGAAAAAUCAAUAUGGGUUUACUUCAAACCCAAUUGAACCCACCGAAUUUUAUUUUAUUUUUACUAAUAGAUCAUUUAAUUAUCAAUCUCAAAUCUCAAUCAAUCAAUUAUAUCUCAAAAAUUAUCGCUAUUAAUCUCGUUAAUUCAUCAACCGUCGUAGAAUCAAUCUCUUCCUCUUCGAAAUUGUUGUCGCAAUCGAUGAUGACGUGGAAGACAUUGUAGGCUCCUCCUCCUCAUCUUCCUUGAGAGGAUUACUUAUCUUUGGUGACCACCAUUAAUGGCAAUAUUUUGCCAUGUUCGUCUUCUCUCCUGCCUUCACUUUUUUUUAAAUUUGAUUUUUAGGUUUCAAAUGAGCAAAACCAGUAUAUCUCUGGAUAAGCUCUGAAAUCAUUAUUCAACUUUUUUCCUUAAAGACCCAAUUUUAUGGACUUAUGGUGUUCUAGUAAUGUUGAAAAUGGUGGAAGUACUUUAGGUGUUUGAAGGGAUGGGUCAGAAUAUAGAAGAAAAGGGUAAAUAAAUAUAAAAAAUAAAAAAUAUAUAUUUGAUGAGGUGUCAAACAUGCCACCAUAGAUCUGGUUAUAUCCUUUUAAGGGUAUAAUUAAUUCAUCUUUAAACAGUUCAGGGGUGAUAGGACUCCCGUGAAGUUUAACUGUAUAGUUGGAAAUUCGGAUAUAUGUUGAGGGGGCAUUCGGCCAUUUUCUCAAGAAAAAAACAAUAACUUGUGAUUCUAAAUACUCCAAUAAGAUUCCCUGACUAGAAAAAUAUCUCAUUUAAUUUGAUGUACAAUUAAAAAAUCAAAAUUAAAUUUUUUUUAACAUAAUUUUUUUUUUUCAUGUUUUACGGGAAAAAAAAGCAACAUUAUAUCAUAGAAAAUGAAACAAAUGGAAUAGUGCUUAUGAAAACAAAUGGAAUGAGAAAAACAGUAAAGAAAUAAGAUUUAUUUCGAGGAGAAAGAUACGAUGGUGACAUAUAUAAUAAAAAAAAUUAGUGAAUAAUUACAAUACAAUACUCUCAAGUCUUAAGGCCAAACAAAAUCAACACAAAUUUUGGGAAGUUCUUCAAAAUCCUCAGCUAAAUUGAAGUCAGUGUUGAAAUUAGUUGAGGAAUUGUUGAAUACCCUUUGGUUGGAAACUCCUUUGGCAGCCACAACAGCACAAGAAUCAGCAACUGAAGAAGAAGGUGAAGUCAAAUAAUCAGUAUUUUCAUGUCUAAGAAACUCAGCUAACAAAAGAACGAGAGAAGCCAUUUGAUAAAAAAAAAAAUCUAAUGAGAGAGGUUUUCAAGAUUUUUCCUUUGUUUGAUACAAUGAAUUCAAGGCACACAAAUUUUUCCUAAUUUAUAAGCAAUCAAAAGUAGGUGAAUAGUAGUAGUAUUAAAAGCCGGUUUGGCUUAGAUACUAUACUCUGUG